RNAcentral lists this ribosomal RNA (305 nucleotides) under uncultured bacterium. RNAcentral's name for it is "bacterial SSU rRNA". It matches the Rfam family "Bacterial small subunit ribosomal RNA", at positions 337 to 656 of the family's 1533-position model. The record is from RNAcentral.
ACCUACGGGGGGCAGCAGUGGGGAAUAUUGGGCAAUGGAGGCAACUCUGACCCAGCAACGCCGCGUGAGUGAUGAAGGUCUUCGGAUUGUAAAACUCUUUAAGUGGGGACGAAGAAAGUGACUGUACCCACAGAAUAAGCCUCGGCUAACUACGUGCCAGCAGCCGCGGUAAUACGUAGGAGGCAAGCGUUAUCCGGAUUUACUGGGUGUAAAGGGAGCGUAGACGGCUUGGCAAGCCAGAUGUGAAAGGCUGGGGCUCAACCCCAGGACUGCAUUUGGAACUGUCAUGCUAGAGUGUCGGAGGG